Molecule: ribosomal RNA, 375 nt
Filed under: uncultured bacterium
Lineage: Bacteria
Description: bacterial SSU rRNA
Rfam family: Bacterial small subunit ribosomal RNA
Source: RNAcentral
AUACGUAGGGUGCAAGCGUUAAUCGGAAUUACUGGGCGUAAAGCGUGCGCAGGCGGUUCGCUAAGACAGAUGUGAAAUCCCCGGGCUUAACCUGGGAACUGCAUUUGUGACUGGCGGGCUAGAGUAUGGCAGAGGGGGGUAGAAUUCCACGUGUAGCAGUGAAAUGCGUAGAGAUGUGGAGGAAUACCGAUGGCGAAGGCAGCCCCCUGGGCCAAUACUGACGCUCAUGCACGAAAGCGUGGGGAGCAAACAGGAUUAGAUACCCUGGUAGUCCACGCCCUAAACGAUGUCAACUGGUUGUCGGGCCUUCAUUGGCUUGGUAACGUAGCUAACGCGUGAAGUUGACCGCCUGGGGAGUACGGUCGCAAGAUUAAA